RNAcentral lists this ribosomal RNA (213 nucleotides) under uncultured bacterium. RNAcentral's name for it is "partial 16S ribosomal RNA". It matches the Rfam family "Bacterial small subunit ribosomal RNA", at positions 1289 to 1500 of the family's 1533-position model. The record is from RNAcentral.
CAGUUCAGAUUGAGGGCUGCAACCCGCCCUCAUGAAGUCGGAGUUGCUAGUAAUCGCGGAUCAGCAUGCCGCGGUGAAUACGGUUCCCGGGCCUUGUACACACCGCCCGUCACACCAUGGGAGUUGGGAGCACCCGAAGCCGGUGAGGUAACCGAAAGGAGCCAGCCGUCGAAGGUGAGACCAAUGACUGGGGUGAAGUCGUAACAAGGUAAC